GUGAUUUAAGUACAUCUCUAGGUGAGAUCAAAUUAAGUUAUGAGAAUGAAUAUAUGAAGCUCAAUCUUGGGUGUCUCCAUUUUAUAUGGGCCAAGAAUGAGUGAUUCAAGUUAAGUUUCUGGAAUGAAUAUAGGUAGCUCAGUCUUGGGGGUUGCCCUUAAAGCUCUAAUGACUAUUCAAUCUCACUUAGAGAAGAGUAGCUCAUGUGGUGAAGAGCAGUAGGGGUCCUAGUCUUGGUUGUCUCCAUUGUAUAUGGGCCAAGGUGAGUGAUAACGGAUAACCUUGUGUGUGGUAGGGUGAAACCCAUUGGCAAUGGCUUUGCAAAGCAGUAGAGGCCACCACAAGUGCAUGACCCGCCAUAGCUCGAUAUUCAUUCCGGGUCCGGACGAGUCUAAGUCUAACACUACCUAAUAAAACAACAAAUUAUAACUUAAAUAAACUGUUCUUCCUUGCUUGUUG
This 459-nucleotide long non-coding RNA is filed under the name Vigna radiata. Its description in RNAcentral is "long non-coding RNA (VRAD_LNC004431)". Lineage: Eukaryota; Viridiplantae; Streptophyta; Magnoliopsida; Fabales; Fabaceae. The record is from RNAcentral.